UUAGCGCUGCUGGGUUGGUCAUGCAUUUUUGCUCCAGGGCCAAUAAUUUUUGCAUGGGGACUGCCGCUUUAAAGCUCUUGGGUUUUUUAUGUGGUUCCCACCUGGACUGUUAGGCCUAGGAAAUAACCGAGCAGACGGCUUAAGCGGCGCUUGU
RNAcentral lists this non-coding RNA (154 nucleotides) under Rhodospirillaceae bacterium. RNAcentral describes it as "6S RNA". It matches the Rfam family "6S / SsrS RNA". From Rfam's summary of the family: E. coli 6S RNA was the first non coding RNA to be sequenced, but its function was unknown until recently. It consists of 184 nucleotides that fold into an extended hairpin structure with a large single-stranded internal bulge. Lineage: Bacteria; Pseudomonadati; Pseudomonadota; Alphaproteobacteria; Rhodospirillales; Rhodospirillaceae. The record is from RNAcentral. RNAcentral also lists the same sequence under 1 other name.